Molecule: long non-coding RNA, 1843 nt
Organism: Caretta caretta (loggerhead turtle)
Lineage: Eukaryota; Metazoa; Chordata; Testudines; Cheloniidae
Source: RefSeq, a predicted model, not a curated record
ACAACCUGUGAGAGACAAGUAUUUACUCUGGAAUCACCACUGGAGCAACCCAACACCCACUAUAUCUGAGGGGAACAGCUGCUACUGCGCACUUAACAGGGUAAUGGAUCAGGGACCCAGAAGUUAAAACUUUCACAUGAGGGAGGGGAACCCCCCAAAGACACCUUAUUUGUGGGGAUGGGGGUCAAACAUUUCUUACCUACAGAGCAAAAGGGGUUAAACUUUCUCUUGGCAUCAGAAAAUGGGAGUCUAAGAGGAAACAGCUACAGAACUGAGUCAUGCUGGGAGCCCAGCUCGGGGCCCCAUGGUCUCAGAGAUCUCAAAUGAGUUCCAGAGGAGGGAGGGGACAGUCCCUCUUUAUACAGUCUUGAGGAGAUCCCAAUACUGCACUCAGCUCUGAGCCCCUUAAUCCCAGAGAGGUAGCGACAAACUGAGGGAGCUCAGAGAAGAGCCACAGAAAUGCUCAGGGGGCUGGAGGGAUCAAGUUCUGAGGAGAAAUUCAGUGAGCUAAAUCUGCCAGGCUUGGCCAGGCCAGGCAUAAAGGAUGGGGGCGAAACAGGGUGGGACAUGAGACCCAUCUGCAAGUGUCUGAGAAGCAUGAAUCCUGAGAGAGAGGAGAAUGGGGCAAGAUGAAGCCUGGGGAUAGGAACUCAGAAUCUAUUCCUCACUCGUCAGGGGGUCUGUGAAACUGAGCCCUGGUCUACACUACGAGUUUAGGUCGAAUUUAGCAGCGUUACAUCGAUUUAACCCUGUACCCGUCCACACAACGAAGCCAUUUUUGUCGACUUAAUGGGCUCUUCAAAUCGAUUUGUGUACUCCUCCCCAACGAGGGGAUUAGCGCUGAAAUCAACAUCACCGGGUCAAAUUUGGGUGAGUGUGGACGCAAUUCGAUGGUAUUGGCCUCCGGGAGCUAUCCCACAGUGCUCCAUUGUGACCGCUCCAGACAACACUCUCAACUCGGAUGCACUGGCUAGGUGGACAGGAAAAGCCCUGCGAACUUCUGAAUUUCAUUUCCUGUUUGGCCAGCGUGGCAAACUGAUCAGCGCAGGUGACCAUGGAGUCCCAGAAUCACAAAAGAGCUCCAGCAUAGACCAAACGGGAGGUACUGGAUCUGAUCACUGUAUGCGGAGACGAAUCCGUGCUAUCAGAACUCCGUUCCAAAAGACGAAAUACCAAAAUAUUUGAAAAAAUCUCCAAGGGCAUGAAGGACAAAUGCUAUAACAGGGACCCGCACCAGUGCCGCGUGAAACUUAAGGAGCUUAGGCAAGCCUACCAAAAAACCCAAGAGGCAAACGCCCACUCGGGGUCAGAGCCCCAGACAUGCCACUUCUAUGAUGAGCUGCAUGCCAUUCUAGGAGGUGCCCCUACAACUACCCCACAACUGUACGUGGACUCCUGCAAGGGAGUCUCACGCAACAGGGAUGAGGAUUGUGGGGAUGAGGAAGAUGAGGAGGAUGGGGAGGUUGAAGACAGCGCACACCAGGCAAGCGGAGAAACCAUUCUCUCCAACAGCCAGGAACUGUUUAUCACCCUGGAGACAGUACACUCCCAACCCAGGCUCCCAGACCUUGAAGGCAGAGAAGGCACCUCUGCUGCAAAUGUUUCAACGCUGCGACUAGCAUCUCCGUCCCAGAGGCUAGUGCAGAUAAGAAGGUGGAAAAAAACGCACUCGUGAUGAAAUGUUCUCUGAGCUCAUGCAGUCCAAACUGAAAGAGCCCAGCAAAAUGCGUGGAGGCAGACAAUGGCAGAGUCCAGCAAAGCACAAAAUGAACGCAAGGACAGGAGGGACGCACGAGAGGACAAGUGGCGGGAGCAACAGGAGAGGUGGCAGGAUCAAGAGGAA